This 242-nucleotide long non-coding RNA is filed under the name Lathyrus oleraceus (garden pea). Its description in RNAcentral is "Pisum sativum (pea) long non-coding RNA (PSAT_LNC022692)". Lineage: Eukaryota; Viridiplantae; Streptophyta; Magnoliopsida; Fabales; Fabaceae. The record is from RNAcentral.
AUUUUAUUUAUUUAUUUAUUUAUUUUAUUUAUUCACUUUUGGAUUUUCCCCAUUUUAAUUUUUAAUUUUUAGUUUUUUUUCUUUUAGCUUUUUUUAAUUAUCGAGGGAAAGAAUUUUUGGUGUUAUGUAUACUCACAAAUCCUCUAAAACACCCCCACCAAAAUGUUUCUAUUUUUUUUUACUUAAUCCUUCCUAAUUUUUAAAAUUCUCUCCUCCUUUAUCAUCUAAACUUUUAAAUAAAA